RNAcentral lists this ribosomal RNA (186 nucleotides) under uncultured bacterium. RNAcentral describes it as "partial 16S ribosomal RNA". It matches the Rfam family "Bacterial small subunit ribosomal RNA", at positions 1307 to 1500 of the family's 1533-position model. The record is from RNAcentral.
GCAACUCGACUCCAUGAAGCUGGAUUCGCUAGUAAUCGCGCAUCAGCCAUGGCGCGGUGAAUACGUUCCCGGGCCUUGUACACACCGCCCGUCAAGCCAUGGAAGCCGGGAGUGCCUGAAGUGUGCAACCGCAAGGAGCGCCCUAAGGUAAAACUGGUGACUGGGGCUAAGUCGUAACAAGGUAUC